AGUGAACGCUGGCGGUAGGCCUAACACAUGCAAGUCGAACGGCAGCACAGGAGAGCUUGCUCUCUGGGUGGCGAGUGGCGGACGGGUGAGGAAUACAUCGGAAUCUACUCUGUCGUGGGGGAUAACGUUGGGAAACUUACGCUAAUACCGCAUACGACCUACGGGUGAAAGCAGGGGACCUUCGGGCCUUGCGCGAUUGAAUGAGCCGAUGUCGGAUUAGCUAGUUGGCGGGGUAAAGGCCCACCAAGGCGACGAUCCGUAGCUGGGCUGAGAGCAUGAUCGGCCACCCGGGAACUAAGCCACGGUCCAGACACCUACGGGAGGCAGCAGUGGGGAGUAUUGGUCAAUGGGCGCAAGCCUGACCCAGCCAUACCGCGUGGGUGAAGAAGGCCUUCGGGUUGUAAGGCCCUUUUGUUGGGAAGGAAAUCCAGCUGGCUAAUACCCGGUUGGGAUGACGGUACCCAAAGAAUAAGCACCGGCUAACUUCGUGCCAGCAGCCGCCGUAA
RNAcentral lists this ribosomal RNA (506 nucleotides) under uncultured bacterium. Its description in RNAcentral is "partial 16S ribosomal RNA". It matches the Rfam family "Bacterial small subunit ribosomal RNA", at positions 29 to 523 of the family's 1533-position model. The record is from RNAcentral.